RNAcentral lists this transfer RNA (71 nucleotides) under archaeon. RNAcentral's name for it is "tRNA-Ala". It matches the Rfam family "tRNA". From Rfam's summary of the family: Transfer RNA (tRNA) molecules are approximately 80 nucleotides in length. RNAcentral also lists the same sequence under 1 other name. The record is from RNAcentral.
GGGCUGAUAAUUUAAUGGUAGAAUAUUUGAUUUGCAAUCAAAUUACCUGAGUUCGAUUCUCAGUCGGUCCA